GGCCGCGGGAAUUCGAUUCAGGCCUAACACAUGCAAGUCGAGCGGUAGAGAGAAGCUUGCUUCUCUUGAGAGCGGCGGACGGGUGAGUAAUGCCUAGGAAUCUGCCUGGUAGUGGGGGAUAACGUUCGGAAACGGACGCUAAUACCGCAUACGUCCUACGGGAGAAAGCAGGGGACCUUCGGGCCUUGCGCUAUCAGAUGAGCCUAGGUCGGAUUAGCUAGUUGGUGAGGUAAUGGCUCACCAAGGCGACGAUCCGUAACUGGUCUGAGAGGAUGAUCAGUCACACUGGAACUGAGACACGGUCCAGACUCCUACGGGAGGCAGCAGUGGGGAAUAUUGGACAAUGGGCGAAAGCCUGAUCCAUAAGAGCCGCGUGUGUGAAGAAGGUCUUCGG
RNAcentral lists this ribosomal RNA (394 nucleotides) under uncultured bacterium. RNAcentral describes it as "bacterial SSU rRNA". It matches the Rfam family "Bacterial small subunit ribosomal RNA", at positions 39 to 421 of the family's 1533-position model. The record is from RNAcentral.